RNAcentral lists this long non-coding RNA (315 nucleotides) under Homo sapiens (human). RNAcentral's name for it is "HSALNT0300601". The record is from RNAcentral. Lineage: Eukaryota; Metazoa; Chordata; Mammalia; Primates; Hominidae.
AGUUCAUGCUUGUGUGUCUGCCUCUCAGCUAUUCUUCAAGCUCCCAAGGUUUGGCUCAGGGUUGUAAAAUAAUAUUAAGUUCUGACAGUGUAAGAAGUGUGCCCGGAAAAAAAAUAACCAGAGCAGGAAGGAGAAGAAAAGCAUGAGAAGAGUGCAGAUGAGUUUUGCAGCUGGUUUUGCAUUAGAAGGGGAACAUUAGCAUUAGACACAGGAAAACGUCGGCUGCGGAGCCCAAGUUUCCUUCACACAAAGGUCACCAGCUCUUCACUGUGAAUAAACUCAUGUUGCAGACAGAGGGAUAGAUGAUUGAGAAUG